RNAcentral lists this ribosomal RNA (579 nucleotides) under uncultured bacterium. RNAcentral describes it as "partial 16S ribosomal RNA". It matches the Rfam family "Bacterial small subunit ribosomal RNA", at positions 355 to 932 of the family's 1533-position model. The record is from RNAcentral.
UGGGGAAUUUUGGACAAUGGGCGAAAGCCUGAUCCAGCAAUGCCGCGUGUGUGAAGAAGGCCUUCGGGUUGUAAAGCACUUUUGUCCGGAAAGAAAUCCUUGGCUCUAAUACAGUCGGGGGAUGACGGUACCGGAAGAAUAAGCACCGGCUAACUACGUGCCAGCAGCCGCGGUAAUACGUAGGGUGCAAGCGUUAAUCGGAAUUACUGGGCGUAAAGCGUGCGCAGGCGGUUUGCUAAGACCGAUGUGAAAUCCCCGGGCUCAACCUGGGAACUGCAUUGGUGACUGACAGGCUAGAGUAUGGCAGAGGGGGGUAGAAUUCCACGUGUAGCAGUGAAAUGCGUAGAGAUGUGGAGGAAUACCGAUGGCGAAGGCAGCCCCCUGGGCCAAUACUGACGCUCAUGCACGAAAGCGUGGGGAGCAAACAGGAUUAGAUACCCUGGUAGUCCACGCCCUAAACGAUGUCAACUAGUUGUUGGGGAUUCAUUUCCUUAGUAACGUAGCUAACGCGUGAAGUUGACCGCCUGGGGAGUACGGUCGCAAGAUUAAAACUCAAAGGAAUUGACGGGGUCAUAGCUG